This 319-nucleotide ribosomal RNA is filed under the name uncultured eukaryote. Its description in RNAcentral is "partial 18S ribosomal RNA". It matches the Rfam family "Eukaryotic small subunit ribosomal RNA", at positions 1470 to 1796 of the family's 1831-position model. The record is from RNAcentral.
CCCUUAGAUGUUCUGGGCCGCACGCGUGCUACACUGAGUGGAUCAGCGGGUCAGGUUGCGCGAAAGUGUUUCCUAAUCUUGAAAUCCGCUCGUGAUGGGGAUUGACGGUUGCAAUUUUCCGUCAUGAACGAGGAAUACCUUGUAAGCGCGGGUCAUCAUCCCGCGCUGAAUACGUCCCUGCCCUUUGUACACACCGCCCGUCGCUCCUACCGAUUGAAUGUUUCGGUGAAGAUUCCGGAUAGGACUGAUUUGAUUUAUUUCAUUUCUGACCUAAAAGCUAUCUAAACCUCAACAUUUAGAGGAAGGUGAAGUCGUAACA